CAAUAAUACCGGGGGGAAAGUCCUCACAAUCAUUAUUUAAGGUAAAAUGACGGGUCAUGGUUUGCAGAAUGCAUAUAGGUUUCAUUGCUCAUAAUCAAAGACCAUGAUUUCUUACUCUUAACCAUCAAAUUUAUGAAGAGCCCUUCAAGUCUGGCAUACUGUUCUCACCAUGGCCAACCAGAUGCCUGUGGGAAGCCCACAAGCAGGUCAUGAUGUCAUCCACAAACAUAACCACCAUACUGCUCAUGCCCAAUGCUAUUCUUCUAGAAAUAGAGGUGCUGGAACUCACCAUGAUGAACACCUCCCUUGUUCUCUUAUAAUGGCCAUGGCGCUCAUCCGAGAGGUGCCAGGACUGAGUUCCAGUGAGUUCAGGCCGGGGAAAAUCCCUGCUCAUCCUUAAUCCCAGGUCAUUUACAAACAUGCUACAAAGCACAGCCCUCUGUACUCAUCAGGGGUGUGUGUGUGACACCCCACUUCUUAUAUCCCUCCAUUAUGAGAUCUGUCGAUUAAUUUCUAAUUUCAGCUUCAUUUUCUUUAACCCGUUGCUGAUCUAUAGGUGGACCUAUCCUCUUAUCCCAUGAUUGCCAAGAGUUAGCCUAUGCUAGCUGUCAAAGAAUGUUUCACUUAAUAAGCGUCAGAAUGUAAUGAUAUAAGGUACUGGAUACAUACUUAUGGAGAAUUACCGUUAGUUCCAUUUUUCAAGUAGCUUCAGUAUUGGCCUUUUUCUGUGCUACCACACUGAAGUACCUCAACCUUGGAAAAGCACUUCCAGGAGUCAUAAUUACACUACUCAGUCAGGUCAUGGUCUCUGUCAUGAAGCUGCCAACCGAACACAGCCUGUAAUCUUUCUGCCCGUGCGUGUGUGCUUGUCCAUGUGGUGACUUUUUAAAAACCAUUUUACAGCAUAGUUCAAGCAUGGUUUCAUGUUCUCUUGAGAUAAGGAAGAUGCUCCAGAAUCCAGAUGCUAAAAGAUUGUCAUUGGCUAUCUUCCCAAUGACAUGGUCUCUGAGGCAGCUCACUCAAAAUCUUGGCAAUCUGUAUUCUACCUCUGAAAACCCAGCAGAAAGUACAGCUUUGCAGUAAUAUUUGGUAAGUUUGCAUGCAUCAAAACACCACAGUAAUGUGAUUGAAUCUCAUAGGCUUAAUUAUGUGCUUAAAAAACAAAAUAUGAACAUGCUUAUGUAACUUGCUGGAGAGGUCGCUUAAACUGGAAUGCCUGCAUUAUUGGCUGUUGCAAUUUAAAUACAUGCAUAUGGAGGGAAAAAGAGGAGGAGGAACAAGCCAAACCUGGCUUCUGAAUUUGUUUAACGGCUUGAAGGUUAUGUCAAGGAACAAUCAUCACCUGCUCGGUGGUCUAGAUGAUUGGAUUUCUUAUUAUCGGGGAUGCACUGAAGUGUGAAAUAGAAAACCCAUUGCUCUAGGUAAGAAAGAGAAGGUCUCAGCCUAGGGGAAAGAGUGACAAGCUCUUUAAUUAUAUUAGUAAUGGCUGCCAAGAAAGAGCUAGCCAAGGCACUACCACCAGGUAGGCCAGAAGAAAAGUGCGAAUUGGUAUUGAAAAGCUGUAGUGAGCCACAGGUGUUUUCAUCAUCAACAUUGAUCUGCCAUUGGUUCUGGAAGACUACCAUACAUCAUGGGAGUUAAGCUGAAUUUCUGCACCAGAUAUUUCCUGACUUUCAAAAUGUCAUGUGCACUUCUUCAACAUCAAGCUUAUUGUUUUCACAAAACACAAACAGCAAACUUGUGUAAUUGUUAUUAAUUAUUAUGCAUCUGAUUUAUAUACUGCUCUUGCUCUCUGAGCCUACACAAUAAUGAUAAAGCAUUUUUAAAAGCUAAAAAUAGUUAAAAUAUUCUUACUUUAGUUAAAAACAUUCUUAAAAAGUUAAACGUGGUCUCAGCCAGUGAUUUGAGGAUUGCCAGGAACAGCAUCUUUCACUGAUCAAAUGCCUGGGUAAACAGGAAUACUUUUAAAUUUGUCCUGAAAGUCAGUAAUGAAGGAGUCACACACCUCACUAAGGAAAGCAUGCCACAAAAUGGUAAUCACCACUGAAAAGGCCCUGUCAAAUCUAAUGUUCUGUUUCUCCAAACAAAUAGGUACUGUAUGUAAAAUAGAAAUCAAUGCGGAUAUGCAUGUGAUCAGAAAUAUAAUUUUCAAAAAGGUUCAAAACUAGUCAAAAACUGGCAGUGAUUCCUUGCAAUAUGAAGUACAUGUAAUUGAAACAAGGGAAAAUGUCAUUUUUCUAAAUAAAGCAAAUCAAUCCAGUACAAGAAAUGCAGCGUGUAGCAGAAGAAAUGAAAGUGAGACAUCAUUUGUUUUGAUUCUAUAUUUUCACAUUCCAAAUCCAUACCCUCCUCUUGUGUGAUGAUAAGGUUACUACUCAAACUGUUAUUUCAGCAUAGGCAUCAUGGUGGGUAUCUGUUUUUGAACAACUAAUGCUAGGAAGGAAAUAUAUAUACACAGAAAGUUAUAUUUUCUGAAUUAUUGGUAUCACUCAAAAUUGUAGAGUGUGAACACAAAGUGGGGAUCAUUGAAAUGUAAAAAGAAGUUAUAUUUCAGUAUCUUUGUCCUAAUCCUACUAGUGUCCUUGUCCUACUAAACUUUGUGAUCUCAACUAUGGUUUUCUGUGAUAGUAUGGCUCAUGGUCUGAUUAUUUUUUAACUCCUCAUAGUAAGGAUGCAGCAAAUUGUCUGGCUUUGUCCAGGCUUGUUUUCGACUAUGAGAAUUGUAAGCGAAAAAGAUUGAAACAAUUAUUUUUUAAUGGUUGCUCAGGUAGAAAACAUUGCCAUCUGUUCUGUCAAUGAACUGCUAGAUCAAUCUAUACAGUGGUACCUCGGGUUAAGUACUUAAUUCUUUCCAGAGGUCCGUUCUUAACCUGAAACAGUUCUUAACCUGAAGCACCACUUUAGCUGAUGGGGCCUCCCACUGCUGCCGUGCCGCCACUAUGCAAUUUCUGUUCUCAUCCUGAAGCAAAGUUCUUAACCUGAGGUACUAUUUCUGGGUUAGCGGAGUCUGUAACCUGAAGCGUAUGUAACCUGAGAUACCACUGUAUUACAGAUGAGGUCUCAUACCAAUGUUGAAGUGUGGAGUGCUCCUUCUUCAGGAUUCCAGCCACUUUAUUCCAUUCUUCCCAUUUUCCAUUCUGCCCCCUGACAACAGUCAGUCAGCAUUCCAUGGUCACCAAAUACAUUCAAUCUUCACCUCAAGGUUCCCCCCUCCCGAAGUUGUUUCUUCUUCUUCUUCUUCUUCUUCUUCUUCUUCUUCUUCUUCUAACCUUGAGGCUCCCUCAAGCUUGAUGCCUGUCUCUUAUUUCUGUGCAUUUUUGGCUCCAAAAGCAACAACACUCGCUGCCUGAACACUUGGAAUGGUUUCAUUUGCUAUAUCAGUGCUGCCCACUUAUACAAUUUAGUCUACCAAUGGCAUUUCUCUUCUGAUUAGUUUCAAUGAAAAAGACUCUGUUCAAAAACAUUUAAUGCUGCAGGGCUUUUUUUUAUUUAAGAUCUUAUUCAGUUCAGCAAUUAUGAUCUGCCCAAGCUUCUAUGGACUUUCCUGAAAAUGUUACAUCAAAACCCUAUUAAGUUUUAACGUGUGUUAUAGGUUACAUUGUGAAAGCAUUAAAUGGCUCUGGCAGUACUAGCUGAUCUUGUGUGAGCAGCAAUGAAGGGGAAAGAGAAAAGCUUUUCAGCCUUGCCAUGACUAUUAAAAGACCCUUUUAAUAGUGUGAUAUCAGAACGGUAAAAUACACAUUUCAAGCUACGCAGUCAUCUAAUUAGUUCACCAUGUACCCAUUUUGCGCUUCUCCUGACACACUUACCUUAUACGACACUUGUGAGGCCUUGCUGAAGUUCAUGCCUUUAGGGUAGUGACGGCAAUAGCCUUCCCCAUCUUUAGUGGUAGAAUAUAUACCGUUCUACAAGCUGCUAUGCAGUCCAUUACUUUGUAACACAGUGUGCAGCAAUCUGUUUAGAUUAAAUAAACUUUGCAACUAAAACCCUGCUUAAAAGGGAAUGCAUGAGGUUUAAAAAACACCCCAAAACAAAUAUGCACCCAGCUCUCACAUACCUCACUCAUUAAAGGAUUAAGGAGUUUGUUAGGGUAUAUGUGCAUGAAUUAAAUCCAGAAAAGGUUGCUGUGUUCCUCUGGACUGAUUUUUAAACCCUCUUGAUCCAGGGGGUAAUUCAUGCAAGAAACAGGUUCCCUGUGCAGACUGCCCAUUGUGGAUCAGAUGCCAGAGUUUUCAAAUAACAUAAACAUAGGGAAAAUAAUUCAGGAAUAGCAAUUAGUGGUAACUAGCAGUCUACUUAAGGAAAGCUACAUGGCAGCUAUCCAACCUGUUUCUUUCUUUCUUUUUCUUUAAAAAAGAAAGGGUGUGGUUUCUCCCUGCCACUUUUCAUUUUAUUUCAUUUUUUAAAAAAGUUACAUUCUUGACAUUGCCCAUGAAUGAAGAAUAUUCAUUUCCUCCUUUGCCAGCUUUUUGAAAUACGAUCAGUGUGUGAGGCAUGCAGUUGAUAAUUGAAGUAGACAAUGAUAAGAUUUUCCAUUUGCAGGCAUAAUCACCAUAUGUAUUCUAAACUGGGUGGCGCAAUUAAUGGAAGCACUGCUAAAAGAAGGUAGAAUUUCUUCUUUCAAAGAGAAAGAAGAGUGUCUGUGGGACCAUUACCAUGUCUCAUGUACCCAUCUGUAGAUCAGGAUUGCAAAUUUUGGAUACACCAGUAUGAGCGCAACAUCGUUCCCAGAUGCCACAUGUGGCUCAAGCUUUAUGUUGUAUAAGAACAGCUGCCUGUCACAGGGCUGAAUGCAUUUUAUAUUCAGACUGUAACUGUGCCGAAAUGACAGCAUCCUAAUCAUACAGCAGCACCCACAGCUUUCAUAAUGGGGACGGCCAAUCCAAAAGUGUCAGUUAAUUUGCAUACGUUGACAGUAUAGUGUCACAAUUAAUGACAGCAAAAGUAAAGUAAUCAGUAGUAUUCUCCAGGUUUGUUUUUUUAAAUGCACACAGAGUGAUCAAAUUAAUCUAACAAUGAAAAAAUUAAUUUAAAUCUUUGGCUCUGGGGUAGUCAAAAUUUGGCUGAAAUGGAAGCAAAUUGUGGGUCACUCACUCCUACACUGCCAAGUUUCAAAAUCAAUCUAUUGAAUCAUUUUCCAACUAGGAGCCAUAGAACCUGCUCCCCCUCUGAUUUGUUAAUAUAACCCAACUCACUCUUAACAUGACUCUGACCCUAUAAUAGUAUAAAAUAGUACCAAUACUACAGUGCUUCAUAUGCCCCCACUGUCAGCAGUGCAACAGUGGUGAAACAAGACAGGGUCUUCUCUAUGGUGGUACCAAAGUUGUGGAAGCUCAACCUAAGGAAGUUCAUUUCAUUUACAGUAUUAUGUAUUUUAUGUAUUAUGUAUUAUUAAAGUAAUCUCCAAAGCAU
Molecule: long non-coding RNA, 5412 nt
Filed under: Podarcis lilfordi (Lilford's wall lizard)
Lineage: Eukaryota; Metazoa; Chordata; Lepidosauria; Squamata; Lacertidae
Source: RNAcentral